RNAcentral lists this ribosomal RNA (450 nucleotides) under uncultured bacterium. RNAcentral's name for it is "bacterial SSU rRNA". It matches the Rfam family "Bacterial small subunit ribosomal RNA", at positions 354 to 796 of the family's 1533-position model. The record is from RNAcentral.
GUGGGGAAUUUUGGACAAUGGGCGCAAGCCUGAUCCAGCCAUGCCGCGUGCGGGAAGAAGGCCUUCGGGUUGUAAACCGCUUUUGUCAGGGAAGAAAUCUUCUGGGCUAAUACCUCGGGAGGAUGACGGUACCUGAAGAAUAAGCACCGGCUAACUACGUGCCAGCAGCCGCGGUAAUACGUAGGGUGCAAGCGUUAAUCGGAAUUACUGGGCGUAAAGCGUGCGCAGGCGGUUGUGCAAGACAGGUGUGAAAUCCCCGGGGUUAACCUGGGAACUGCGCUUGUGACUGCACGGCUGGAGUGCGGCAGAGGGGGAUGGAAUUCCGCGUGUAGCAGUGAAAUGCGUAGAUAUGCGGAGGAACACCGAUGGCGAAGGCAAUCCCCUGGGCCUGCACUGACGCUCAUGCACGAAAGCGUGGGGAGCAAACAGGAUUAGAUACCCUAGUAGUCC